CGCUUUGAUUCCAGGCGUAACGUUGCUUAAAGCUUAAAUUAUACAUGCCAGCCUCCACACGCCGGUGAGGAAGCCCCCUUCUAGCCCCCCCUAGACUAAAGGAGCCGGUAUCAGGCACACCCCCUCAGCCCACGACACCUAGCUAAUGCCACACCCCCACUGGGCCCCAGCAGUAAAAAAUACUAAGCAAUGAGCUACAGCUCGACUUGAUAAAAGCUUAAACAUCAGGGCCGGUAAACCCCGUGCCAGCCACCGCGGUUACACGAGGGGCCCAAAACAACAUACUCGGCGCAAAACGUGACUAGAGACAUAAUUCCGGCAAGUGGGUUUAUAAACCACAACAUAGCUGUAAAACGCACCAUGUGAGUGAAACGCACAACACUAUACCAACCACCCAUAAAAUUCUUGACCUCACGAAAACUAAGGCACAAACUAGGAUUAGAUACCCUACUAUGCUCAGUCGUAAACCCAGGUGUAAACCCACCACACCCGCCAGAGAACUACGAGCGAAAGCUUAAAACUCAAAAGACUUGACGGUGUCUCACACCAACCUAGAGGAGCCUGUCCUAUAAUCGAUGAUCCACGUUUGACCUCACCACCCCUUGCAUUUUUCAGCUUGUAUACCUCCGUCGCCAGCCCGCCUGACAACAGACACUAAAGCGGGCACAAUUGUUCAUCACUAGUACGUCAGGUCAAGGUGUAGCUAAUGGGUUGGAAAGAGAUGGGCUACAUUUUCUAAAUUAGAAAAAACCCACUUUAGGAUGAAAAUACUACAGUAAGGUGGAUUUAGCAGUAAGAUACGGCAAGACAUGCCUACCUGAAGCCCGCUCUGAGAU
RNAcentral lists this ribosomal RNA (836 nucleotides) under Uroplatus malahelo. RNAcentral's name for it is "partial 12S ribosomal RNA". It matches the Rfam family "Bacterial small subunit ribosomal RNA", at positions 9 to 1380 of the family's 1533-position model. The record is from RNAcentral. Lineage: Eukaryota; Metazoa; Chordata; Lepidosauria; Squamata; Gekkonidae.